This 451-nucleotide ribosomal RNA is filed under the name uncultured Fibrobacter sp. Its description in RNAcentral is "partial 16S ribosomal RNA". It matches the Rfam family "Bacterial small subunit ribosomal RNA", at positions 341 to 792 of the family's 1533-position model. The record is from RNAcentral. Lineage: Bacteria; Pseudomonadati; Fibrobacterota; Fibrobacteria; Fibrobacterales; Fibrobacteraceae.
ACGGGAGGCAGCAGUAGGGAAUAUUGCACAAUGGGGGGAACCCUGAUGCAGCAACGCCACGUGUGGGAAGACGCAUUUCGGUGUGUAAACCACUGUCGUGAGGGAAUAAGGCUACUUUCCGGAGUAGUUGAAUGUACCUUGAAAGGAAGCACCGGCAAACUUCGUGCCAGCAGCCGCGGUAAUACGAGGGGUGCGAGCGUUGUUCGGAAUCACUGGGCGUAAAGGGAGCGUAGGCGGAACUGCAAGCGGUCUGUUCAAUCACGGGGCCCAACCCCGUACCAGCAGACCGGACUGCCGUUCUUGGAUAGUUCAGGGGAAGGCGGAAUUCCUGGUGUAGCGGUGGAAUGCGUAGAGAUCAGGAAGAACACCGAUGGCGAAGGCAGCCUUCUGGGGACUCAUCGACGCUAAUGCUCGAAAGUGCGGGUAGCAAACAGGAUUAGAUACCCUGGUA